UGCAUUGCAUUUUUUGCUCUAUCUCUGUCUCUCUCAGCAAACCUUCCACUCGAAGAUCGGAACAGUCUCCCCCUUCUCAAGUUCUCUCUCUCUGCUGUGCUUCCCUCCGUCAUCAGGCCACACGCUGCUCCGGGGAGAGGAGGCGAGAACAUGGCGGCAGCGUCGUCGGCCGACGUCGUCCUCCACAACGCGUUUGUCGUCACCAUGGACAGCGCCGACGCGGUCCUCCGGGACGGCGCCGUCGCAGUCAUGGGCGACCGCAUCGCCGCCGUGGGCCCUUCGGCGGACGUCCUCGCGGCCUUCCCCCGCGCCGCGCAGACUCUCGACCUCGCCGGCCGUAUCCUCAUCCCCGGGUUCGUCAACACGCACGUGCACACGUCGCAGCAGCUGGCGCGGGGGAUCGCCGACGACGUCGACCUGAUGACUUGGCUGCACGGGAGGAUCUGGCCCUACGAGUCCCACAUGACCGAGGAGGACUCCUACGCCUCCACCCUCCUCUGCUGCAUCGAGCUCAUCCGGUCUGGGGUAACAUGCUUUGCAGAAGCAGGUGGGCAGUAUGUCUCGGAAAUGGCACGGGCAGUGGAACUGCUGGGUUUGCGUGCAUGCUUGACAAAGUCAACAAUGGAUUGUGGCGACGGGUUGCCUCCCAAUUGGAGUUCCUGUUCCACUGAUGACUGCAUUCAGUCACAGAAGGAUCUGUAUGCAAAGCAUCAUAACACUGCUGAUGGGCGUAUCAGGAUAUGGUUUGGGUUGAGACAGAUCAUGAAUGCGACAGAUCGUUUACUGCUUGAAACAAGAGAUGUUGCACAGGAACUGAAUACUGGAAUCCAUAUGCAUAUUGCUGAAAUACCACAUGAAAAUCAACUUGUAAUGCGGACCAAGGGAAUUGAUCAUGGGACAGUUACAUAUUUAGAGAAAAUAGAUUUUCUGAGGAGUAAUUUACUGGCUGCCCACUCUGUUUGGUUGAAUGAGCCUGAGAUAAACCAUUUUUCAAAGGCUGGUGUCAAGGUUUCGCAUUGCCCAGCAUCUGCCAUGCGGUUGUUGGGGUUUGCUCCUAUUCGAGAAAUGCUGGAUUCUGGUGUUUGUGUCUCUCUUGGAACAGAUGGAGCACCGAGCAAUAAUAGAAUGAGCAUUGUUGAUGAGAUGUACCUAGCCUCCCUUAUUAACAAAGGGCGUGAGGUGUACAUCGGUGGUACAACAAACCCGACCGCUCUUCCUUCUGAGACUGUUCUGAAGAUGGCUACCAUUAAUGGUGCGAAAGCUGUUCUGUGGGAUGAUGAAAUAGGAUCGCUGGAGGUUGGGAAAAAGGCAGACUUGGUUGUGGUGAAUCCAUUUAAAUGGUCCAUGCUCCCGUUACAUGACACCAUUGCCAACAUUGUUUAUUGCAUGCGGACAGAAAAUAUUGAAUCUGUCAUGUGCAAUGGUAAAUGGAUUAUGAAGGAUCAGAAGAUUAUGAAUUUCAGUGAGACAGACGGUCCCUUCUCAUCUGAAAAAACCCUCAGUGACACAAUUUUACGCUGACACCAGAUUUUGUGUCAAUUCCUCGGCAUAACACCAACGGGUUGGACAAGAAAUAAUUUAUAAAAAUCAAUGUUUCAACAUACAUGCACUGGAAUAACUACAAAUUGAAUGGAAAUGGAUGAGAUAAUAUCUUCGGCAGUAGAAAGAGCAACCGACCUUCUAGUGCGAGCUGGCAUCAACCUCCCCAAGCGGAUGAACCACUUGUGAAUUGUGAUAUCUGCCUUGCUAUUUCUUCAAGCAUAACCUCUCCUGCUGCUGAGGAUUAGACUGGCAGAUGUACGCAGGACAAUUUCUGUUCCGUUUGUCUGUCAGUGUUGCCGCUGUUUGUAUGGUGUUGCCAUGCUUACAAGACCUCCUUGGAAGCAAGAGUUACAGGUUAUCCGAGUUCCGAAAUAAAAGUUACCAUCAAGGUAGGUCGAUUGGAACAGCCACCACGUUUAUGCUUUAAGCUGGUAACUACCUCCGAUCCUAAAUUUUUGUCUCAAAUCCCAAAUAUGGACGUAUCUAUUCUUAAAGGUGUCUAGAUACAUGUAAUACUUUGACAACAAUUUAGGAUCGGAGGCAGUAAUUAUUUGGAGAAGAAUUGAAGCAACGGUUUAGAA
This is an RNA transcript of Brachypodium distachyon (stiff brome), 2123 nucleotides long. It is a transcript of the gene named 5-methylthioadenosine/S-adenosylhomocysteine deaminase, with no coding region annotated. The transcript has 11 exons. Lineage: Eukaryota; Viridiplantae; Streptophyta; Magnoliopsida; Poales; Poaceae. The record is from RefSeq and is a predicted model, not a curated record.